AUGGAUGAGAUGUCCCAGGAGAAGAGGAGUGUGGAAGGGGUGGGAGUGGACCAGCAGCAGAAGAACCAAGAGGAGGGCAGGCGCUCGCCGGCGGGGACCAUGGCGACCCCGUCGACACCUCCAGUGUUGAUUCGCAAGGAAAAAUAUGUGUCCAAGCUUCAGCAGGCAGGUUCAGGCUCUGUUGUGGUGGACUUGGAGGAGGUGCGCCGGGCGGCCAGUGGGUGGCUGGUGGUGGGUCGAUUGCUGGCAGAAUUUGAGGCAGAUCCUGGGGCUAUCCUCAAUGAGCUCCGGCGAGCAUGGCGUCUCCAUGGUGAAGUCGCUCCGCAGAGGGUGGCAAGUAGUGAUGGUUGUUUUGUCGUGAAGUUCCGUGAUCAGAGGGAUAGGGACUCUGUCCUCCAUGGUCAGCCCUGGCAGUUCAACAAGGAUGGGGUCAUCUUUGCACCAUUUGAUGGCAAGGGCAAGCCAGCAGAUAUCAACCUUGGAGUCAUGGAGAUAUGGGCGCAAAUUAGAGGGAUGGAUUAUGAACUUAUGACUGAGAAGAUGGGAUGGUCCCUGGGGGCAAAACUGGGCGAGGUGGUGGAGGUCUCACACCGCAACGGAGUCAUUGUUGAUGAGUACCUGCGGGUGCGGGUGAAGCACCCUCUUCAUGAGCCUCUACGCAAACACGUCUCCAUCAACCCGAAGGGCAGCUUCAUUGAAAUUAGCACUCCAAGAGACUCUGGGAAGCCGGAGUUCACUUCUGCAAUUCGAGUGGCUCCUUAUUGGAAGGAAAGGAAUUCUGUGAGGAUAUCUGUGAUGUUCCAAGAGGCUCUGCCAAAGAUGAAGCAAGUGCAUGAGGAAGCUAUCAAGGAAGUGGAGAAGGGCGUUCGCAAUCUGGUGGUAACGGUGAAUUCCAUGACGGAGUUUUCUGAUCUUGUUAUGCAGGACGGCGCGAGUGUGGUGCCGGGGCUGGCACCAACGCUACCUUCCUCUAUUGGGGGCUCCUCCAAUCAUCGGCUUCCUAUUUCAUCAACACCUUCGCCUUGUCUGGAAGGUGUGCCUUCCGGGCUGUUACUGGAGGGACCUUCCAAGGGGGGGUCGUUCGCCCCUUCGUCACACCCGGCCACUGCUACUGGGGCGCUCAGUCAACAAGGCUUGAGCCCCGCAUCAAUUGCUGCUCUUCAUCAAGCUGUGCUCGCCCGGGUAAACCGAGUGGGAAAGGACUCCAUCGCCUCUGAAGGCUUGAACCCUGGCCAGAAGGGUCGGGGUCUGGUACCUGCCUCCUCUGCUCUUUUCAGCCCCUGCCUGGGUCAGGAGGGUUGGGGCGUGGGGGCUGUUGAGGUGUCUCCUGUGGAUGCGCCUGUUGGCGAGGGGUCGGGAACUCGGAUGACUCCACAAGGUGCUCCUGUUUUUAUUUUCUCUGCUCCUAAGGUGGUUGUGCAGGGGAAUGUAAAAGCUAACUGGAAAAGAAUGGCUAGGGAGGGGGAUAGGACUCAGGUCCAGGGUCACAAUAGCAACAGGGGAGAUGAGAAUACAUUUGGUCUAGGCAUAGGUAAAAAGAGAGGCGCUCCUAGUUAUGCACUGCAUACGGGUAGUGAUAUCAACUUUUCUUUUGAGAAUGCUAGCCUGGAGAGUAACGAUCUGUUCCUGACUAGGGAUGUGAAUGUGUGUUGUAAGAGGGUUUGUGGGGGUCGGGUUGAAAAGGUUUGGGGUGAGGAUGGAGUGACCUCUCAUGUUGCGAAGGAGUUAGAGGAGAAAGAGGAGGAUUAUGUAGAGGGAAGAAGGGAGUUUGUUGGAGAGAAGAAAGGUGCAGAUAGUGCUUCGGCGGCCUCCGGUCAGGAGGACCGCCGGGAGAAAUGA
Molecule: ribosomal RNA, 1839 nt
Filed under: Triticum aestivum (bread wheat)
Lineage: Eukaryota; Viridiplantae; Streptophyta; Magnoliopsida; Poales; Poaceae
Description: partial small subunit ribosomal RNA
Source: RNAcentral